Molecule: ribosomal RNA, 253 nt
Filed under: uncultured bacterium
Lineage: Bacteria
Description: partial 16S ribosomal RNA
Rfam family: Bacterial small subunit ribosomal RNA
Source: RNAcentral
UACGUAGGGGGCAAGCGUUGUCCGGAUUUAUUGGGCGUAAAGCGUGUGUAGGUGGUCUCGUUAGUCUCCUGCGAAAUUCUUCGGCUUAACCGGGGGCAGAUGGGAGAAACGGCGAGACUUGAGGGUGUGAGAGGUGUGUGGAACUCUACGUGUAGGGGUGAAAUCCGUUGAUAUGUAGGGGAACACCAAAAGCGAAGGCAGCACACUGGCACAUUCCUGACACUGAGACACUAAAGCGUGGGUAGCGAAUGGG